This is a long non-coding RNA of Haemorhous mexicanus (house finch), 8379 nucleotides long. RefSeq lists it as uncharacterized. The transcript is spliced from 2 exons. NCBI's taxonomy places the organism in Eukaryota, Metazoa, Chordata, Aves, Passeriformes, Fringillidae. The record is from RefSeq and is a predicted model, not a curated record.
GCCUUCCAGCCCGGCCCGGGGCUCAGGGAGAGGCGCUGCGCCGCCGGCCCGGCGGGCGGUCCCGGGGAGCCCAGAGGGGUCAGGGUGCGGGGCAGAGCGGUGCCCGCUCCCGGCACUCAGGGUCCGGCGCCCCGUCCUUCCCGAGCCCCGCUGUGCCCUCACGGCCCCUGGCAGUCGCUGCAUUUGUGCUGUUUCUAUAAUCUCACGUCUGCCUUCGCGCCCCUCGGAGAGGGGUUGAGCCCCUGCCUGCCUCGCCCGUGCCCUUCAUCCUCCCGGACCUCACGGGUUCCACCAAAUCUCUAUUGCAGUAAUUUAGUUCCACAUUCCUUUGCAACACCCGAGGCUGGUGCCGUUGGUUUGGUGCACUGAUUGUGGGCCCUGGGCAGGAUGGCUUGGCUGCUCCAAGGCUGUCCUGGGUUGCAGGAGCGUUCACCAGCACCUUAAGGGUGUGUUUCGAGGCAAUUGUUCUGUUUUCCCCAACAUUGAAAUUGGUGGGGGGAUCAUCUUGCUUUUGAGCAGGGUGGGUUUGCUUUAUUGGAUGACUGUUGUGAUUCUUGGGGCAGUGCAGACUGGUGGGAUGUGGCCUGGCAGUCCAUGUCAGGACUUUGUGGCUAAAAUUCAAGAAGUUAGAUUUCAUACCUGAAUAUGCCAAGGCAUAGUAUACAAUAAAUGAAUCUGCUUUUUCCUGACCUUUUCUUUCCCUUUUCCCUUCUUUUCCUUUACCUUAAGUCCCCAGGUAUUUAUAAUGGAUACCCCUACAGUACAAUUCAGGGUUUCAUAGUCCUUUAACAACCUAGUACCAUUGUCAUUGAGUGUUAUUUAGUACUAAUUGCUUGGAUUACUAGGUACUUGGAAAAGAGCUCAUUUGUAUCUUUUACCUUAACUCCAUAAGGGUUUUUUUUCUCUAUUUUGUUUUCACAGUGCCUUUUCCCCUCUGAAUUUGGACAGCAUCAUCCAUGUAUCCCAGAAAUAUUCUCAUGUCACUGUAUCUAUCAAUGAGUUACAGUCUUUAAAGUUGCUUUUUGCUUUUAAAAUAGCUAAAGCUUUUUGUGACGUUUGGCUUGCCUUCAUCAUCCUGCCUACAGAGAUUCCUUCCAUGAGAAGGAGAAAAGGUUCUCUUCUGUCUGAAGCUGUGAUUGAGGGUCACUUCUCUGUUUAUUCCUGGCCUGUAGGAGGUCCCAGUUAAACAUUCUUACUGGCACAAAAUGAAUUGCAUCCAUCUGAAAUGAAUGGGAAGCUGAUGAGCCCAUUAGUUUUAGAGUUCAACCAAAAUACGUUUGAUUUUUUGUUGAUUGUCCUUAAGUUGCAAUAAGGAUUCCAAAUUGUGUUAUUUUGAUAAGUUGAUUUAAAGGAUAUGGCAACAGACAUCUCGUGAUCCAGGGGCAGGCCUUGAGGAUUUUGGAGCUGCUUAUUUGCUAUGAUUAUCUUUUUAUUAAUCAUAUUAAUCAUCAUUAUCCUUUGAUUAAUUAGAGGUGGGCUUCUCUUGGACAGCAGGCUUGGUACAAGCAUGCAGGUAUCUCACACAGGACUUUAGCCAAAGGCUAUGCCCCUCUUGCCUGAAGGGAUUUCACCCUCCAGCACAUUUGUCCAUCCCCUCUGCCCAGUGAGUGUCUGUGCCCUCCUGAAGCCUGGCAGCCCAGCACCCAGUCCUGUGUGACAGCAGGCAGAGAGCCGGGGCUGGGCCAGGCUCUGGGGAGGAGCUGCUGCUCUCCCACAGUCAGAGCCAGGCCAGGCUGAUGUGUGGGGAUCCAGUGCCUUGCUCUGUGACAGGUGUUUCACCUGGGUGCCAGAGCGCAGAGAGGGCCAGGUACUAUUGCUCCUGCCUCACAGGGAAUAUUGCCUUUUGUAGUAGCUGCACACACCAGGUGAUCAGUGGUGGGAGGGUUCUGGUGUGUGGAUUGUGUUAGCCAUACAGGGAAUACAGACAUCUGCUUUGAAUGAUUUAAACUGGAAAUACCUACAUGGAAUCUGGGAUCUCCUUAACAUAAAUGGUUGGAUCAGAGUAGAGGAUUUCACACUUGCUUGGUAGCUCAGCUUCUAGUCAUGUUAUUUGUGAACUAACUCUAGUAAUAUAUUUAGAAAGUGACGUCUAAAUUGGGUUGCUAUUAUUUAAUGUUUCAAAGCUACCAGGUAGCUUGUAUAAUUUGCAGAUUCAGCAGUCACUAGUCAUGUUUCUGAAAAUCAUGAUUCUUUAAUUUUAUUUUCACUCUUAGGUGCCUCAUUUGGUUGUGUGGUAUGUUAUACAAUUGUUAGAACACUGUGUUGGCACUACUGCAGCAGCACCUUUGAGACUGCUGGGUUUAAGAAAAUGAGGGUAUGCUCUGUAUGUUAAAGAUUGUAAGAGCAGAGACCUCCAGAGUUGUUGGGGUUUUUUUUGCUAUAAGAGUUAAGAGACAUUUCUGAAGCAAAAUAUUUAUAUGUGUAUAAAAAUAUCCUUGUUAAAAUUGAGAGAUUUAGUAGGUCAUUUUAACAUCAGUGCCUAGACUCACAUAGGAAAUGGACUGCUUGUCAGCUAUAGCCACAUAGUAAAUAGUUGUGAAAUCAUUAUUUCUUGCAUUUUACCAUUUUUGCAACUACCAUUUCACCUGUUCUUUCUGGAAUUUAAUUGCACACUACAGCCACAGGUUGGUAGGAUUUUGUGCAGCUUGUAACAAUUCCUGGUCUUUUGCUUCUGUUCAGAACUUUGUCUAAAACUGAUGUUGGAUCACAUCUAAGAAAAAGAAUCAUUUGGAAGAAUUCUAAAGUACUGGCUGUGCUUAACCAAAGUGUACUCACUAUUUACAGCUUUUGAGAAACUUGACUGCUUUUAUAUUGUUAACAGAAAAACUGAAAUUGGCCGAAGACUUGGAGGAGGGUCAUAUUUUGUGAGUAAUGUAACUUGGGUUUUUCUGUCAGGCCUUGUAGCUACCAGUACUGCUGCUGUGCUUAGAAUGAUGAGACAGCCAAAGGCAGGACUUCUCACAACAGGAUUGUUUAGGUGGGGAAAGCUCUCUGGGAUAAUUUAGUCCAACCAUUCGGAUGUCACAGGUUCUAACUGUCUUUCACCAAAUCGCUGUUUUUCACCAUUUGGAGAUUACUGUAACCAGCACUAAUGUGCAGACAGGAGGGCAGCCAACCACCAGCAGAAUGCAGCUGGGCUUCUUUGUGGAGAAAACCUUCCCAGAGGCAGCACUGAGGCAGCUCUGGCGGGCUGGGCUCUGCGGUUCCCCUGCUGACCACGCUGGGUCCUGCUGGGCCCUGCCCGUCUGUCUCUUCACCACACGUGCUUUUGGAAGUGCAGAGGGAAACACCAAUUUACAAGUGCUACAAGUCCAUGGAUUCCCUUCUGGUGACAGCCAGGAGCAGUGUGUGUCAGCCUGGUGAGGGUCAGGCUGGGCAGGGUCCUCUCACAGCUACCCAGGGACUUGGCUGAAACCCCAGGGAGCCUCCAAAGACUGGGAUGAGUGUUAGGUAGAAACAAAUUAUGAAAAUGACAUAUUAAUGUGUGGAAAAUGUGAAACUAGGUGUAAAAAAUAUGGUGAUUCAAAAUGCAGCAGUCAUGAAGACCACAGUACAGAGUUUUACUGUGCAGCUACUGGAGCUGUGUGUGACCAAGGUCCUGUCCCAUGACUGCACAGUCGUGGCUGCACUGCAGACAGCCUUGUACAAUGGCACAUAACCAUCUAGAAAGUUCUGAAAAAAGGUGCUUUUCUGGUCUAUCUUGCAUUGUUUGGAACAAUGGUUUAACUCCAUGUUAACUGUCCAUUAUGACAGUUUCAUCUCCUUGGAGGAUUUUGGCCUGGUAUGGUUUUACCAGUAAGAUAGUGCAGUAAAACCUUUGUCUUCCCGUGUAAGACAGUUGUGUAAGCAGUUCUGAGGGGGUUCCCUUGCUUACUCUUUAUUUAACCAUCAAGUUCAAACAGAACAAACCCACAAUGUAACUCUGAAAAUCAGAUGCAGGAGUAGGGAUAUGGCUAUGUCAUAUAAGAGCAUGAAAUUGCCUCUGUUUCAGUGGCUUCCAGAAGUACUUAAAAUACAAGGAAGGACAGUUCUUUGGGGAUGAGAUUUACAAACCAGCCAAAGCAGUAAAAAAGAUGUCUAAAGUCAUGGAACUUUGCUCAGCUUUAGGAUUUUUAAGGUGAAUUUUUUUAUCUUUUUAACAAAAAAGAAACCUUAUUCCUAGAAAUUAAAGUACAUUGUAUAUAACUUUUUACUUGGAGAGGUCUCUGGUUCAUAAUGGUGUCUUUGAUGAGUCGCUAUAGGAGUAACAAGUACAGAAUUAUGACACAGCUCUCUGUGCCUCAGUUCCCAAGCAGCUGGACACCUCAGUGUGCUUAGAUCCUGCAGUAUUUUGUUUUGCUUGAAGUCAAGCAAACAGAACCCAAACAGGUGACUGUUAACUGUUCAGUUAUGAAAUGAAGGGAAUGAAACUGUGAAAUUCAUUGAGUUUGUAGAUAGGGUGACACAGUGCUGGGAAGGUGGAAUCAUACUCAAUCUAAGGUCUUUAUGUUCUUUUGCCCAAACUUGUGGUGACUCAUCACAUGCCUCUGGCUGUUGCAGUGGGUGAAAGGCUGUGGGGAAGUUAAUCUUAAAAGCCAAAACUGAGGCUAAGAAAUGCAAUGAGAGGGUUGGAGAAGCACAAAGUUAGGGGGAGAGGAAGCAGAAAAGUGGAAAAUGAAGCACAGCAAGCACAGGCUCUUGACAGUAAUUUUUUUAAUGGAUAUUUGUGCAGUGUGGUUUAACAGGGACAGUUAACAAUCUUACUGUGGUGUAAAGUCUGAACCUGUGACCCCUGUGCACACUUCACUGACCACAACAAGAAGUGAUAGGAGAUGAAAGAGAACAUUUAAUUUUUCACAGGCUUCAUCUGAUUGGUUUUUUCUCUGUCACAGUUGACUGGUAGAACAAAUUUAUCAUUUUCAUAGCUGGUCUGCAUGUUUUCACUGUGCUAGCAUGCACUAAGAAGAAAAGCCAGGUCUGAGUGUUGUGCUGUGUUGUGGUGUGUGGCAGGAGCACAGGGACCCUGUCCCCUGGGCCACCAUGCCAGGCAGCAGCUUUGUCCUGCCUGUGUCUUGGUGACAGCCCUGACAGACGGUUCUGUUUUUCCAGCUCACAGUUACUGUAGGUGAUUGUUUCUGCACCACUUUCUGCUGCACGUUCAGUCACCCACAUGAUGCAGCUGGGGAGCUCUGGAGCUUUGUUCAGGGCGUUAUUUUCUUCAUUCAACUUGCUUUCCCUGGUAAGAUCUGUAAAUGUCUGUGUGCUGUUGCCACCUCUGAUCACAAAUUAUUUUGCUGUAAAUGCUUGUUACUUGUUAAAAAUCCAAAGGACUUUUGAAUCACGGAUACAUACAUUUAUCUGUGAUACACAAUUUCUACCUAAAGCAUUCACUGUCUUCAAAAGCAUUUAAUAAUAAUUCUGAAGUCUAAAAAGCCAUGUUUUCCCAGCAAAAUGAUAAGAGUCUAACCUUAUACCAAAUUUUUCUUUGGCCACAAAAAACUUGAUCCUAGCUAUAAGCAGCAGUCAGCUUGCCUGAUGUUAGCUCAUCAAAGAAGAGUCCGUGUAUAUUUAAUAUUUAGAAUAUUUUGGUGUGAAUUUUUGGUAGUUGAAGUACUACUUAGUUUCAUCAUGGAGAGAAUUAUUUCUGCCGUAGGUGUAGUGCUUUUCUCUCAUUUGCAUCCACUCAAAUAAAUAUCACAUUUUUGAGGAACAGAGUCUAUGAAAAUUGUUGUGCUCAAAGUUGUCUGUGUAAUCUUAGAAGAGAUGCAUUCUGAAAGUCUAAUAUUGUGCAACUGUAGAGCAGCCACUGGUACAGGGAAAGGAAACACUAAGAUUGUAAAAAUGGGAGGAGUGGGCAAAAGUAGAAAUGAAGAAAGGGGAAAAUAGCCUAAGAAUGGUGCAGUUUCAUUCAGAAGGUUUUAUCUUCUUUCAAAAUGCCUCUCAAAAGACAAUAAAUCGUUCUGUCUCUCAGCUGAACUGUUCACUGUGGAAGGUGAGCGUGCGGCAGGCUGGAGGAGCAGCGACGCUGCCCUGGAGCUGGGGCAGCUCCUGCAGUGCUGCACUCGUGGGGCCUCCCCAGGGACCUGGGCGUGCUCCAGGAGGUCCUGAUCUUGCCGUGCCCCCGUGCCAUGGGUGGGCAGUCCCCCAGCACCACUGCUGUGACCACACAGCGAGUGCCUGCGGAGGAGCCGUCGCAUCUCAGGCAGGAGCGGUUUUGGAGCAGACAGAUGAGUUUUUGCUGUCAGCCUUCACACAGCUGCGAGCAGAGCCAUGAUGGUGGUACUCUGAAGAAGAAGAGUCCAGUCAUGUGCUGUGUGGCUCUCCAUCCUCACCUGUGUGUGCUGCUGCCAGCCCCAGGCCCAGUGGUGCUGGCAGUGCAUCCUCAGCGGGUGCUGGCGUGCCUGCAGCCGCUCGCCCGCGCCCUUUGGGCCCUCCCGCUCUGAGUGCUGCCCUUCCCAGUCUGGGCUCAGGGUAUGUGAAGACAAAUGUGGGACAGAUGCAUCUAAUACGGUUUGUCUGUACUCUGUGUCCAGCUGGCAUAUGGCUUUUUAAAGCCCUAUGACUCAGGUGGGUUGCAUUUCACUAGGACAGUGAAAGGAUUCCUUCCAUUACAGUCUUCUUUGAAAGUCAAAUAUAAAAUGCACAACGAAGACCACUUUUCUUAAAUGAAGAAACAUGACUUCCAUAUGUAAAAAAACUUCCAGUGUUACUGCUUUGACUGAACCAUCUGAACAGCUGUCCUCUGCAGCACAAACCUCCUCCUUGUUUUGGGUAAGAAUAGUGUGUGCUUCUAGGAGUUGGGACAUGCAGCAUGGCUUUGUUACAGAGCUAGAAACAGGUGCAGUUCUAGCACUUGCCAUUGGAAAAAAACACAGAAAAAGAGAGGAAGGGAACAUUAGCACCAGCUAGACUAUUUUGUGUGUUGGUAAUAUACACCCAUUUUCUGUGCCACCAUUAGUAGGUGUUUGUGGAGGAGAUGGUGGCUUGCCAACAAGUGCUCCAGCCAUGAAUUAAACAGCAAGGGCAUUUCAGAGCCAUUGGUGGUCUGGUUUUGGAUAGAGGUUAGCAGGUUGAAUUGGGAUGCACCAGCAGCAUCCUGGUUCCCUGGAUCCAAAGAGAACACACUGGUGAUGGAGCAGGGACCCUCUCGCCGUGGUGGGCUCACGUUUCAGGUGCUGUGCCGUGCCCUCUGCUUGGCCCAAGGUAUGCAGCUUUUAGAUGAAGCCUUUAUACACCCUAAGAGCAAUCCCACAGUGUUCCCACCAGCGUGUGACAGCUCUGGGGUGCCAGGCUGGCCACUGCUCCUCGGUCGUCCUCUGAGAAUGGUUUUGGAAUGAAAGUCUCCCGGUGAGUUCCCGGCCCCUGGCACUAGAUGGAGCCUCAAUCUACUUGCACUUUGUUAAGAACCACGACAAGAUAAAAAUAGAGACGAAUACAUGAAGAUAUGCAUGCCUGCUGCUACACUGACAGCACCUCUUUCCAUGUUUUUUAUCAGAGUGGUGUAAAUCAUUAUUUAAAUUUAAUCUAAAUGAAAAUUAAAACAUUGCUGCAGAAUCUGCUUGUUCUAGUGCAUGCAUUAUAAUCAUUAGCACCCUUUAAUGUACUCUCAGGUUCACCAUGGAAGUUGCUGUAAGUUAAGUAUACUGGAACUGUGCUGCAGAAUUUAGGUAAUGCCUGGGCUGUGCUGAAUUAAGGUAAUGCCUUUUCUGAACAAAGUACCUGCUUAUAUUUCAGGAUGUGGUGGGGAUGACCACCCUUUCUGUCUACUGUGCUCAUGCAAGAAUACACUUGUAUUUUCACUUUGUGCUACCAAAGCUAACAUUUCAGAAUCAUCUGGUUUAAGUCACUUCAUUUUUCCUCCAUGUGUUACCCUUGAAAAUAUUGAACAAAUAGAAACAAAAAUGAGCUUUGAAUAUGAUCUUUUAAUUUAGCAAGUGCCAUGUCUAACAGGCCACACACACAUAGCAGAAAUUCAGGCCAUCUUUUCCUUCCACAGAAGUAACUGGAAGUAGAUUUAGUUUUGUUCUUGGGUGCCCGUGAUCUUAUCAGCAAGAGACUGGUUUAUUCAAAACUUUUGUCCAAACACUGAAGUAGUCAUAAAAGAAACUGAAGUUGGGAACCGAAAUGGUGACACUCAUAACAGAUUCUGUCAUUAAAGCACUGAGAUAUUGUUUUGUUUCUUCACUACAAAAUCUGACUUUGAAUUUCAGUCUUCUUCAGAGGCUUUGUGCCAACCAGCAGGAGGAUAGGGACAGGGGAGAUGCCCAGAAGGCCUCAGGAGGGCAGGGAGCAUUUGUUGGGUGCCUGGGGUGUCCUGCAGAGGUUGCACAGAAAUUGUCAUUGUGUUCUCUUAAGGAAAGCUUUGCUUGUUUUUUUUAAAUAAAUCUGUUAUUUGCCUCA